Molecule: long non-coding RNA, 185 nt
Organism: Tachyglossus aculeatus (Australian echidna)
Lineage: Eukaryota; Metazoa; Chordata; Mammalia; Monotremata; Tachyglossidae
Exons: 3
Source: RefSeq, a predicted model, not a curated record
GGCUAAAGCGGGGGGUCCUCGUCCCUUCCACGGGAGGAGGAAAGGAGCCAGGGCAAGGAGAGAUCCCCUCGAGGAAAUGAGAACCCCAAGGCACCUCACUUUCACCACUCUGGUCACAAUGUUUCUGGCAAGCGUACUCUUAGAGCUCAAAGAUGAUGCAGGUGAGACUUUUUGAGAAUCUGGAU